This 486-nucleotide ribosomal RNA is filed under the name uncultured bacterium. RNAcentral describes it as "bacterial SSU rRNA". It matches the Rfam family "Bacterial small subunit ribosomal RNA", at positions 40 to 507 of the family's 1533-position model. The record is from RNAcentral.
CGGCAUGCCUAAUACAUGCAAGUCGAACGCUGAAGCACUCUGCUUGCAGAGUGCGGAUGAGUGGCGAACGGGUGAGUAACACGUGGGAAAUCUGCCUAGGAGUGGGGGAUAACAUUCGGAAACGGAUGCUAAUACCGCAUANCUUUUUGAACCGCAUGGUUCUUAAACGAAAGACGGCUUCGGCUGUCGCUCUUAGAUGAUCCCGCGGCGUAUUAGUUAGUUGGUGGGGUAAAGGCCUACCAAGACCAUGAUACGUAGCCGACCUGAGAGGGUGAUCGGCCACACUGGGACUGAGACACGGCCCAGACUCCUACGGGAGGCAGCAGUAGGGAAUCUUCCACAAUGGGUGAAAACCUGAUGGAGCAAUGCCGCGUGAAUGAAGAAGGUCUUCGGAUCGUAAAGUUCUGUUAUUAGAGAAGAACAAGUCAAGGAGUAACUGUCUUGACUUUGACGGUACCUAACCAGAAAGUCACGGCUAACUACGUG